This 153-nucleotide unclassified non-coding RNA is filed under the name uncultured Trichosphaeriales. RNAcentral describes it as "sequence contains ITS2". Lineage: Eukaryota; Fungi; Ascomycota; Sordariomycetes; Trichosphaeriales. The record is from RNAcentral.
CAACCCCUAAGCACAGCUUAUUGUUGGGAACCUACGGCUUCGUAGUUCCUCAAAGACAUUGGCGGAGUGGCAGUGGUCCUCUGAGCGUAGUAAUCUUUUAUCUCGCUUCUGUUAGGUGCUGCCCCCCCGGCCGUAAAACCCCCAAUUUUUUCU